Molecule: ribosomal RNA, 87 nt
Filed under: uncultured fungus
Lineage: Eukaryota; Fungi
Description: partial 5.8S ribosomal RNA
Rfam family: 5.8S ribosomal RNA
About the family: 5.8S ribosomal RNA (5.8S rRNA) is a component of the large subunit of the eukaryotic ribosome. It is transcribed by RNA polymerase I as part of the 45S precursor that also contains 18S and 28S rRNA.
Source: RNAcentral
AUGCAGAAUUCAGUGAAUCAUCGAAUCUUUGAACGCACCUUGCGCCCUUUGGCUAUUCCRAAGGGCAUGCCUGUUUUGAGKAUCAUG